RNAcentral lists this ribosomal RNA (751 nucleotides) under uncultured bacterium. RNAcentral's name for it is "bacterial SSU rRNA". It matches the Rfam family "Bacterial small subunit ribosomal RNA", at positions 8 to 796 of the family's 1533-position model. The record is from RNAcentral.
AGAGUUUGAUCAUGGCUCAGAAUCAACGCUGGCGGCGCGCUUAACACAUGCAAGUCGACGAGAAAGGGGAGCAAUCCCUGAGUAAAGUGGCGUACGGGUGAGUAACACGUGGGUAAUCUACCUGUUAGUGGGGAAUAACUCCGCGAAAGUGAAGCUAAUACCGCAUAAUCCCGCAAGGGGAAAGUAGUAAUACGCUGACAGAGGAGCCCGCGGCUGAUUAGCUAGUUGGUGAGGUAAUGGCUCACCAAGGCUGCGAUCGGUAGCCGGCCUGAGAGGGCACACGGCCACACUGGCACUGAAACACGGGCCAGACUCCUACGGGAGGCAGCAGUGGGGAAUCUUGCACAAUGGGGGAAACCCUGAUGCAGCGACGCCGCGUGAGCGAUGAAGUCCUUCGGGAUGUAAAGCUCUUUCGACGGGAACGAUAAUGACGGUACCCGGAGAAGAAGCUGCGGCUAACUACGUGCCAGCAGCCGCGGUAAUACGUAGGCAGCGAGCGUUGUUCGGAAUUACUGGGCGUAAAGAGUGUGUAGGCGGUUUGGUAAGUUUGGUGUGAAAUCUCCCGGCUUAACUGGNGGCGCCGAAAACUGCCAGACUAGAGUGCCGGAGAGGAAAGCGGAAUUCCUGGUGUAGCGGUGAAAUGCGUAGAUAUCAGGAGGAACACCGGUGGUGUAGACGGCUUUCUGGACGGCCACUGACGCUGAGACACGAAAGCGUGGGGAGCAAACAGGAUUAGAUACCCUAGUAGUCC